CCUACGGGAGGCAGCAGUGAGGAAUAUUGGUCAAUGGGCGCUAGCCUGAACCAGCCAAGCCGCGUGAAGGAUGACUGUCCUGUGGGUUGUAAACUUCUUUUAUCUGGGAAUAAAGUGCAGUAUGUAUACUGCUUUGCAUGUACCUUAUGAAUAAGGAUCGGCUAACUCCGUGCCAGCAGCCGCGGUAAUACGGAGGAUCCGAGCGUUAUCCGGAUUUAUUGGGUUUAAAGGGAGCGUAGGCGGGUUGUUAAGUCAGUUGUGAAAGUGUGCGGCUCAAACGUAACAUUGCAGUUGAUACUGGCAUCCUUGAGUACAAGAGAGGUAUGCGGAAUUCGUGGUGUAGCGGUGAAAUGCGUAGAUAUCACGAAGAACUCCGAUUGCGAAGGCAGCCUGCUGGAUUGUAACUGACGCUGAGGCUCGAAAGUGUGGGUAUCAAACAGGAUUAGAUACCCUAGUAGUC
RNAcentral lists this ribosomal RNA (460 nucleotides) under uncultured bacterium. Its description in RNAcentral is "partial 16S ribosomal RNA". It matches the Rfam family "Bacterial small subunit ribosomal RNA", at positions 338 to 795 of the family's 1533-position model. The record is from RNAcentral.